CCCUUAGAUGUUCUGGGCCGCACGCGCGCUACACUGACGAAGUCAGCGAGCAUGUCCUACGCCGACAGGUGCGGGGAAUCUUGUCAAACUUCGUCGUGAUGGGGAUUGAUUAUUGAAAUUCUUGAUCAUCAACGAGGAAUUCCCAGUAAGCGCGAGUCAUAAGCUCGCGUUGAUUACGUCCCUGCCCUUUGUACACACCGCCCGUCGCUACUACCGAUUGAACGGUUUAGUGAGGGCCUCGGAUUGGUCUCGGCCCGCUCUUUACCGGGCGGCGCCGUUGGUCGAGAAGACGCUCGAACUUGAUCGUUUAGAGGAAGUAAAAGUCGUAACA
Molecule: ribosomal RNA, 331 nt
Filed under: uncultured eukaryote
Lineage: Eukaryota
Description: partial 18S ribosomal RNA
Rfam family: Eukaryotic small subunit ribosomal RNA
Source: RNAcentral